RNAcentral lists this ribosomal RNA (1474 nucleotides) under metagenome. RNAcentral describes it as "bacterial SSU rRNA". It matches the Rfam family "Bacterial small subunit ribosomal RNA". The record is from RNAcentral.
AGAGUUUGAUCCUGGCUCAGGACGAACGCUGGCGGCACGCCUAACACAUGCAAGUCGAACGGAGAUGAUUUGAGUUUACUUAGAUCAUCUUAGUGGCGGACGGGUGAGUAACACGUGAGCAACCUGCCUUUGAGAGAGGGAUAGCUUCUGGAAACGGAUGGUAAUACCCCAUAACAUACAGAUACCGCAUGGUGACUGUAUCAAAGAUUUAUCACUCAAAGAUGGGCUCGCGUCUGAUUAGAUAGUUGGUGAGGUAACGGCUCACCAAGUCGACGAUCAGUAGCCGGACUGAGAGGUUGAACGGCCACAUUGGGACUGAGACACGGCCCAGACUCCUACGGGAGGCAGCAGUGGGGAAUAUUGCACAAUGGGGGAAACCCUGAUGCAGCGAUGCCGCGUGGAGGAAGAAGGUUUUCGGAUUGUAAACUCCUGUCUUAAAGGACGAUAAUGACGGUACUUUAGGAGGAAGCUCCGGCUAACUACGUGCCAGCAGCCGCGGUAAUACGGAAGGUCCGGGCGUUAUCCGGAUUUAUUGGGUUUAAAGGGAGCGUAGGCCGGAGAUUAAGCGUGUUGUGAAAUGUAGAUGCUCAACAUCUGCACUGCAGCGCGAACUGGUUUCCUUGAGUACGCAUAAAGUGGGCGGAAUUCGUGGUGUAGCGGUGAAAUGCUUAGAUAUCACGAAGAACUCCGAUUGCGAAGGCAGCUCACUGGGGCGCAACUGACGCUGAAGCUCGAAAGCGCGGGUAUCGAACAGGAUUAGAUACCCUGGUAGUCCGCGCGGUAAACGAUGGAUGCCCGCUGUUGGGCCAACUGGUUCAGCGGCCAAGCGAAAGCAUUAAGCAUCCCACCUGGGGAGUACGCCGGCAACGGUGAAACUCAAAGGAAUUGACGGGGGCCCGCACAAGCGGAGGAACAUGUGGUUUAAUUCGAUGAUACGCGAGGAACCUUACCCGGGCUUGAAUUGCAGAGGAAGGAUUUGGAGACAAUGACGCCCUUCGGGGCCUCUGUGAAGGUGCUGCAUGGUUGUCGUCAGCUCGUGCCGUGAGGUGUCGGCUUAAGUGCCAUAACGAGCGCAACCCCUCUCCAUAGUUGCCAUCAGGUUAAGCUGGGCACUCUGUGGACACUGCCACCGUAAGGUGUGAGGAAGGUGGGGAUGACGUCAAAUCAGCACGGCCCUUACGUCCGGGGCUACACACGUGUUACAAUGGCAGGUACAGAGAGCCGGUCGUAUGCAAAUACGAUCCAAUCCUUAAAGCCUGUCUCAGUUCGGACUGGGGUCUGCAACCCGACCCCACGAAGCUGGAUUCGCUAGUAAUCGCGCAUCAGCCAUGGCGCGGUGAAUACGUUCCCGGGCCUUGUACACGCCGCCCGUCACACCAUGGGAGUCGGUAAUGCCCGAAGUCAGUGACUCAACCAUAAAGGAGAGAGCUGCCGAAGGCAGGACUGGUAACUGGGGUGAAGUCGUAACAGGGUA